AGGCAGCAGUGGGGAAUAUUGCACAAUGGGCGCAAGCCUGAUGCAGCCAUGCCGCGUGUAUGAAGAAGGCCUUCGGGUUGUAAAGUACUUUCAGCAGUGAGGAAGGUGGGUAUGUUAAUAGCAUACUCAUUUGACGUUAGCUGCAGAAGAAGCACCGGCUAACUCCGUGCCAGCAGCCGCGGUAAUACGGAGGGUGCGAGCGUUAAUCGGAAUUACUGGGCGUAAAGCGCAUGCAGGUGGUUUGUUAAGUCAGAUGUGAAAGCCCGGGGCUCAACCUCGGAAUUGCAUUUGAAACUGGCAAACUAGAGUACUGUAGAGGGGGUAGAAUUUCAGGUGUAGCGGUGAAAAUGCGUAGAGAUCUGAAGGAAUACCGGUGGCGAAGGCGGCCCCCUGGACAGAUACUGACACUCAGAUGCGAAAGCGUGGGGAGCAAACAGGAUUAGUACCCUGGUAG
RNAcentral lists this ribosomal RNA (454 nucleotides) under uncultured bacterium. RNAcentral describes it as "bacterial SSU rRNA". It matches the Rfam family "Bacterial small subunit ribosomal RNA", at positions 346 to 793 of the family's 1533-position model. The record is from RNAcentral.